Long non-coding RNA from Coccinella septempunctata (seven-spotted ladybird), 238 nucleotides. RefSeq lists it as uncharacterized. NCBI's taxonomy places the organism in Eukaryota, Metazoa, Arthropoda, Insecta, Coleoptera, Coccinellidae. The transcript has 2 exons. The record is from RefSeq and is a predicted model, not a curated record.
UCUUCUUAUGAAAGCGAUGACGGAGGCGCAUUUCUUUUCCGUUCAGAUGUACUAUAAUAAUAAAUAUUCAACAAUAUGAAAUUCAGUAUGAAUUUGACGACGGGAAGGAGUGUGUCGCUGUCACCUGUUUUACCUACAUGUUAUUGCGAUCUUUUUGUCAUGGACUAGAGGAACACAGUUGAAUUCUAGAGCUUGAGAAAGCAACAAUAAAGUUGCGAAACGUCGCUCAUAGAAGAAG